RNAcentral lists this ribosomal RNA (253 nucleotides) under uncultured prokaryote. RNAcentral's name for it is "partial 16S ribosomal RNA". It matches the Rfam family "Bacterial small subunit ribosomal RNA", at positions 524 to 776 of the family's 1533-position model. The record is from RNAcentral.
UACAGAGGGUGCGAGCGUUAAUCGGAAUUACUGGGCGUAAAGGGCGCGUAGGUGGUUAAUUAAGUCAGAUGUGAAAUCCCCAGGCUUAACCUGGGAAUUGCAUUUGAAACUGGUUAGCUAGAGUAUGGUAGAGGGAAGUGGAAUUUCCGGUGUAGCGGUGAAAUGCGUAGAUAUGUGGAGGAACACCGAUGGCGAAGGCAGCCCCCUGGGUCAAAACUGACGCUCAUGCACGAAAGCGUGGGGAGCAAACAGG